AUACGUAGGUGACAAGCGUUAUCCGGAUUUACUGGGCGUAAAGGGCGUGUAGGCGGUCUUGCAAGUCAGAAGUGAAAUUCCUGAGCUCAACUCGGGCGCUGCUUCUGAAACUGCAGGACUUGAGUGCUGGAGGGGAUAGCGGAAUUCCUAGUGGAGCGGUAAAAUGCGCAGAUAUUAGGAAGAACACCGGUGGCGAAGGCGGGUACCGGGACAGUAACUGGCGCUGAGGCGCGAAAGCGAGGGGAGAAAACAGGAUGUGAUACCCUGGGAGUCCACGCCGUAAACGAUGAAUACUAGGUGUAGGGGGUAUCGACUCCCCCUGUGCCGCAGUUAACACAAUAAGUAUUCCGCCUGGGGAGUGCGGCCGCAAGGUUGAAACUCAAAGGAAUUGAGGGGG
RNAcentral lists this ribosomal RNA (397 nucleotides) under uncultured bacterium. RNAcentral's name for it is "partial 16S ribosomal RNA". It matches the Rfam family "Bacterial small subunit ribosomal RNA", at positions 523 to 918 of the family's 1533-position model. The record is from RNAcentral.